RNAcentral lists this ribosomal RNA (275 nucleotides) under uncultured bacterium. RNAcentral's name for it is "partial 16S ribosomal RNA". It matches the Rfam family "Bacterial small subunit ribosomal RNA", at positions 28 to 297 of the family's 1533-position model. The record is from RNAcentral.
GACGAACGCUGGCGGCGUGCCUAAUACAUGCAAGUCGAGCGGAGUUUAUCCUUCGGGAUAAGCUUAGCGGCGGACGGGUGAGUAACACGUAGGCAACCUGCCCUCAAGACUGGGAUAACUACCGGAAACGGUAGCUAAUACCGGAUAAUUUCUUUCCUCUCCUGAAGAGAGAAUGAAAGGCGGAGCAAUCUGCCACUUGGGGAUGGGCCUGCGGCGCAUUAGCUAGUUGGUGGGGUAACGGCUCACCAAGGCGACGAUCCGUAACUGGUCUGAGA